UACCUAAAUGUUUUAAAUCUCAAAAUGCCA
RNAcentral lists this non-coding RNA (30 nucleotides) under Rattus norvegicus (Norway rat). The record is from RNAcentral. Lineage: Eukaryota; Metazoa; Chordata; Mammalia; Rodentia; Muridae.